Long non-coding RNA from Xiphias gladius (swordfish), 1062 nucleotides. RefSeq lists it as uncharacterized. The transcript has 4 exons. NCBI's taxonomy places the organism in Eukaryota, Metazoa, Chordata, Actinopteri, Istiophoriformes, Xiphiidae. The record is from RefSeq and is a predicted model, not a curated record.
ACCGUACCAUUUCUUAGCCUUGACCUUAAUUGAACGUCUCGUCUGCCUGCUUCAUCUUUAACGUUAAUGCUCCCGUCCGUCGCGCAAGCCGGUUGAGACGCUGUCUGUUAAUAGUCAACAUGAGCAUGAGGAGGGGACAUAUCUGGCACUUUUGUGGUGCUGGAAAAAGAGAAGCAGAGGGAGGUCAGAAUGACAGUCAGCAGGCGGGAGGAGGUCAGGACAGUGCAGCAGGCAGGACCAAGUAGCAAAGAGGAUCUUUUCCAUAGGAGCCAUAUGUUUCUCACUUCUGAAUUACACACCGGAUGAAAUAUGACACACCCACAGGUUACAUACAGGCAAUAGGCUGAUUCAACUUUAUGUGGCGCUGCGCAGCCCUGACUUAACGUGAUGCAUGCUGGACUUAAAACAAUCGAUGUUGGUUGGAAAUUUUCCACGACUUUCACUGCAGAAUGUCACCAUGGCACAUGACAUUGAAACUCAUGGGAUCAAGACGGCUGCAGUUUUCUGAGUGCUCUCCUCUUGCUGAACCAACUGGGAACCGACUCUGUGACGACAGAACUUUGCCCUAAUUGGCUUAAGGCUUCACUGAGAAGCAUGACAUGACGUGUGGUGCAUUUGUACUCUAAGAAAUUCCGAUCUGUUAUCUUGCUUAUCAAAGGUGAUGAUGCAAUUUAUCUGAUCUCCUCCUUCUGGCAGCUCUUUUUUUUUACAUAUGGACGCCAUACAGUACAGUUUUCAUAUCAAGCAAGAAAGUUGUAAAAACAGAUUAGUUUGUAGGUUUGUUAUUGUAAAAGAAGUAAUGACCUAAUACUUCAUUUUAUUUGUAACUGAAAUACUGAUUAUGUUUGCAAUGCAGCAUACAGUAUAUUAUACAACAUGAAAUCGAAUUUUUCUUGUUUGUCAAUUGCAAACUUUUGUUUCUGGAUAAAUUCUAAUAGUGUAAGACAAUUGGUACUAUUUUUCAACUUGUGUAAUCUAGAGACCAGGAUUUGUUGUGUUCAGGAGUCAUUUUGAGUAACUUUCUACAUGUGAGUUAAGUUGUAAAAGGUUAUGUCACCUUUC